GGACGCUUCGGGGGUUUCGGCCCCNCGGGGAGUGGCGCACGGGUGAGUAACGCGUGGGAACCUGUCCUUUUGUGGGGGAUAACCGAGGGAAACUUCGGCUAAUACCGCAUGCGCCCCGGGCGACCGGGGGAAAGAUUUAUCGCAGAGGGAGGGGCCCGCGUCGGAUUAGGUUGUUGGUGGGGUAACGGCCUACCAAGCCGAUGAUCCGUAGCUGGUCUGAGAGGAUGAUCAGCCACACUGGGACUGAGACACGGCCCAGACUCCUACGGGAGGCAGCAGUGGGGAAUAUUGGACAAUGGGCGCAAGCCUGAUCCAGCAAUGCCGCGUGAGUGAUGAAGGCCUUCGGGUUGUAAAGCUCUUUGGGCGGGGACGAUGAUGACGGUACCCGCAGAACAAGCCCCGGCUAACUUCGUG
Molecule: ribosomal RNA, 414 nt
Filed under: uncultured bacterium
Lineage: Bacteria
Description: bacterial SSU rRNA
Rfam family: Bacterial small subunit ribosomal RNA
Source: RNAcentral